AUUGGUGCAAAAGUAAUUGCGGUUUUGCCAUUGAAAGUAAUGGUAAAAACUGCAAUUACUUUCGCACUAA
RNAcentral lists this microRNA precursor (70 nucleotides) under Gorilla gorilla gorilla (western lowland gorilla). RNAcentral describes it as "miRNA (ENSGGOG00000041741.1)". Lineage: Eukaryota; Metazoa; Chordata; Mammalia; Primates; Hominidae. The record is from RNAcentral.